Small nuclear RNA from Protopterus annectens (West African lungfish), 133 nucleotides. RefSeq annotates it as U4 spliceosomal RNA. Lineage: Eukaryota; Metazoa; Chordata; Ceratodontiformes; Protopteridae. The transcript has a single exon. The record is from RefSeq and is a predicted model, not a curated record.
AUCUGUGUCUUCAGUAUCAUGGCCAAUGAGGUUUAUCUGAGGCAUGAUUAUUGCUAAUUGAAAACUAAUCUUCAUUUGUUUAAUCAUGAUAUACAAUUACAAAUAUUUUGACAAACAUCUGAUGCAUAUGCAU